This 319-nucleotide long non-coding RNA is filed under the name Equus caballus (horse). Its description in RNAcentral is "lncRNA (ENSECAG00000049852.1)". Lineage: Eukaryota; Metazoa; Chordata; Mammalia; Perissodactyla; Equidae. The record is from RNAcentral.
GGGAAAGUACUGCGAAGGGGAGAGGGGUAGAUCCUGGCUGUGACAGCUUCAACUCUAUCACACCCAGACUUGGCCUCUCAUGGCCUCCUGGAAGGGGAGUUUCUCUGAAGUCCUCCACGAAGUUUCCACCUGACAGUAACCAAAGCAUCAUGGCUCCCACGAUGCUAUUCCAACUACCCAGCUCUUCUCCGAGAUUGGACUACAAGAUUCUGCAUCUCAGUAGACCACCAGCAAGGAAGUAAGAGGCUUGGUGAGAAGAGUGUGGAAGAAACAUGGAGAGAAGAGAGGAAACACCACAGAAGCUCCCACUAGGCUGAGC